UGGGGAAUUUUGGACAAUGGGGGCAACCCUGAUCCAGCCAUCCCGCGUGUGCGAUGAAGGCCUUCGGGUUGUAAAGCACUUUUGGCAGGAAAGAAACGUCAUGGGCUAAUACCCCGUGAAACUGACGGUACCUGCAGAAUAAGCACCGGCUAACUACGUGCCAGCAGCCGCGGUAAUACGUAGGGUGCAAUCGUUAAUCGGAAUUACUGGGCGUAAAGCGUGCGCAGGCGGUUCGGAAAGAAAGAUGUGAAAUCCCAGAGCUCAACUUUGGAACUGCAUUUUUGACUGCCGGGCUAGAGUGUGUCAGAGGGAGGUGGAAUUCCGCGUGUAGCAGUGAAAUGCGUAGAUAUGCGGAGGAACACCGGUGGCGAAGGCAGCCUCCUGGGAUAACACUGACGCUCAUGCACGAAAGCGUGGGGAGCAAACAGG
RNAcentral lists this ribosomal RNA (429 nucleotides) under Acidobacteriota bacterium. RNAcentral's name for it is "Acidobacteria bacterium partial 16S ribosomal RNA". It matches the Rfam family "Bacterial small subunit ribosomal RNA", at positions 355 to 776 of the family's 1533-position model. The record is from RNAcentral. Lineage: Bacteria; Pseudomonadati; Acidobacteriota.